This 1358-nucleotide ribosomal RNA is filed under the name uncultured Actinomycetes bacterium. Its description in RNAcentral is "bacterial SSU rRNA". It matches the Rfam family "Bacterial small subunit ribosomal RNA", at positions 29 to 1394 of the family's 1533-position model. Lineage: Bacteria; Bacillati; Actinomycetota; Actinomycetes. The record is from RNAcentral.
ACGAACGCUGGCGGUGCGCCUUAUGCAUGCAAGUUGAGCGAAGCUUUUUGGUAGUUUACUACUAGAAAUGACUGAGCGGCGAACGGGUGAGUAACGCGUGAGCAAUCUACCUUAGUUACUGGGAUAGCCCGAGGAAACUCGGAUUAAUACCAGAUAUUCUUAUUUUUUCACAUGAAGUUUUAAGGAAAGGUCAGCCGAACUAAGAUGAGCUCGCGUUCUAUCAGCUAGUUGGUGGGGUAAAAGCCUACCAAGGCUACGACGGAUAGCUGGUCUGAGAGGACGAUCAGCCACACUGGGACUGAGACACGGCCCAGACUCCUACGGGAGGCUGCAGCAGGGAAUAUUGUGCAAUGAGCGAAAGCUUGACACAGCGACACCGCGUGUGGGAUGACGGUUCUAGGAUUGUAAACCACUUUCAGGAGGGAAGAAAAUGACGGUACCUCCACAAGAAGACCCGGCCAACUAUGUGCCAGCAGCCGCGGUAAUACAUAGGGGUCAAGCGUUGUCCGGAUUUAUUGGGCGUAAAGAGCUCGUAGGCGGUUCAACAAGUCGGUCGUAAAAGUUUAGGGCUCAACCCUAAAAUGUCGAUCGAUACUGUUGUGACUAGGAUACGGUAGAGGUGAAUGGAAUUCCGAGUGUAGCGGUGAAAUGCGUAGAUAUUCGGAGGAACACCAAUUGCGAAGGCAGUUCACUGGACCGUGAUCGACGCUGAGGAGCGAAAGCUAGGGGAGCAAACAGGAUUAGAUACCCUGGUAGUCCUAGCUGUAAACGAUGGAUACUAGAUGUAGGAACUGGAUUGACGGUUUCUGUAUCGUAGCUAACGCGUUAAGUAUCCCGCCUGGGGAGUACGGUCGCAAGACUAAAACUCAAAGGAAUUGACGGGACCCCGCACAAGCGGCGGAGCAUGCGGCUUAAUUCGAUGAUACCCGUAGAACCUUACCUGGACUUGACAUAUAGGGAAAAACUGGAGAAAUCCAGUGUGCGUAAGCGCCCUUUACAGGUGGUGCAUGGCUGUCGUCAGCUCGUGUCGUGAGAUGUUGGGUUAAGUCCCGCAACGAGCGCAACCCCUGUCCUAUGUUGCCAGCAAGUAAUGUUGGGGACUCAUAGGAGACUGCCGGUGAUAAACCGGAGGAAGGUGGGGAUGACGUCAAGUCAUCAUGCCCCUUAUGUCCAGGGCUGCACGCAUGCUACAAUGGCAAGUACAACGAGUCGCAAUACCGCGAGGUGGAGCAAAUCUCUUAAAGCUUGUCUCAGUUCGGAUAGGAGUCUGCAACUCGACUCCUUGAAGUUGGAGUCGCUAGUAAUCGCAAAUCAGCAAAGUUGCGGUGAAUACGUUCUCGGGGUUUGUACACACCGCC